This 1252-nucleotide long non-coding RNA is filed under the name Nicotiana benthamiana. RNAcentral's name for it is "long non-coding RNA (NBEN_LNC021842)". The record is from RNAcentral. Lineage: Eukaryota; Viridiplantae; Streptophyta; Magnoliopsida; Solanales; Solanaceae.
UUAAUUUUUGAAAUAGCAAUCCAAACAACCUUAUUUCUGCCUAUAGAAUGAUUCUUCCACGACUCUCGCUUGGGUUCUAACUUCAAACUUCAUAGGAGUUCUGACCCACUUGACUUUUUGGUACCGAAAACAAAGGUUCGAAAUCCCAGUUGAGGCAAAGGUAUUGAAGAGCAGAUAGACCCGGAAGAUUCCAACCUUCUAGAUGGAGCCAGGUUAGGUCUCCGAAAACCUACUCUUUCUGUGAGGCAAAACCUCACCACACUACACUACACUUCGACACAAGAGAAGAGUUCUAGAAGGUUCCGGAGUGAUCUAGGAGUUGGUGGAAGCUCCAUGGAAGCACAAAGGAGUGGUGGCAUCUUAGGUACUUUUAUGGACUCAAAUUGUUCAAUGAAGGAAGAAGCUGCUUAGUUCUUUAGUUGCUAGGUUGAGUCUCUGUUGUGUAGAAGGAACAUAAUUAUCGGUUUGCAUAAACUUUAAAAUAUUGUUUCUCUUUAUAUAGUAGAGUUAGUUUUAAUUGAGUUAAUUGUAGGAGAAGGAUAUUAGAGUUAUUCCCUUUGGUUAUUGAGAUAACAUAAAAACUGAACUUUAAAGUUAGUAAUGUUUUGAAAGCAAAUCCUCAAUUGAAAAGCCAUGAGUUUUACUCCCUUGAGUAAGCCGAUUUUUCACGUAAUAUUUUUGUGUUUUUUAAAUUCCACAUUUCACUAGAUGUUUGAGUCUGAAUUAGGUAUUCACGAAAAUCAGGCGAGACACAAUUCACCUCCCCCUCCCGUCCUUCCCUCCUCAUGCCACGGUGCAACUUUAAAAUAAUAGGGGUUGUGAGAGAAUAGAAGAGAAAGUUAGGAUGACAUAAAAUCCAAAAAAUCAUACCAAAUCGAAUUAAUUCGUUACUUUGAUUUUGAUUUUUCGAUACUUGUCAGUAUUAAUUUUCAGCAAACUCGGAGUAUGAUGUGGUUUUCAAUUUUAAGGUUUACUUAUUUUGGUUACUACCAAUUAACCGAACUUUUUUACUAAAUAUUAUACUCCCAUAGAUUAGAAUAUUUGGUUGGAAUUUAAACAUUAAUUUGCUGCAGUUUUAGAAUGACUUGGAGGCUCAAAUUAGAAUGUGUAAUUGGAUUUUGUGAGUAGGAGCAGCUGGCUCGUUAGUUGCUGCUGCAAUUCGCAAUUUAGAAAUUUAGAUUUACUUAUGCUCGUUAUAGUUAUUGCUGCAAUUGGCAAGUGUUGCUACUCGUUCUUUAAAUAUAGUUUUUCA